UGUUAUGCAAGUAAAUAAAGGUGAUUCUUUAUCAUACGGGUAAGGUUGGAUGAAGGGUGGUAGGAACAAAUGCUCUGCCUAGAGCAUGUGUGUGAGAUGGAGUCUUAGUGUGUGCUGUGUGUGUGUGUGAGAGAGAGAGAUGAGAGAGAGAGAGAGAUGGAGUCUUAGUGAUCAAUUGAAAGUAUAGCGGGGUUUUUACGCCCCAAACUACGGAUGUCGUGUUCUCCACAGGGACUAGGCGACGACGACUAUGCUCGGCUAAAGCUAGGUAGCACAAUUUUAAGAGAUAAAUGCAGAAAAUAAGAAUCUAAACUAACAAUGAUUCUACCCAAAGAUAAUCCACCAAGAAAAUGCAAAAUAGCAAAGGGAGGUUAAGAUAUUACUCACUAUCUUUUUGGUAUUUUGUUUUAUUUGAGGAAUUAAAAUACUAACACAAAUAGGAGUCAAUAUCAAGUAAAGCUACAAGACGAGGACACAUUAGUAUCAAACAUAUAACAGUAGGAAGAAGCGACAAUAUAUGACAGAAUAUAAUUGUUUCAAAUCAAACACACACACGCACAUUCAUAUAUCACAGGUACAUAGCUGAUACGGGGACUACAGAACACACAAAACCACACAUAUGCGAACAGGAUACUACACCACGAUUCAGGUUACACAAGUGAAAACAGAAACGAAAUCUUACAAGCCACAAGAUUAGUACCCACAGAUCAACACAACAGUAUUUAACAACUAAAAAUUACUGAUAGAAUUUAACUAGUACAGCAAGAAGAAAUACACAGGGUGAACACACAUAUAUGCUGACAGAACACUAAUUACCAAAGCAAUUUCUAAUAGAUCAAUAAUCUCCCAAAUUAACAAUAUAUUUUACCAGUACCAAACUGAACAAAUAACAAGUUGCUUGCACUAGUCAAAUCUGAAUAUUACACAACCCGAAACAUUACACAGUUCUGAACAUNNNNNNNNNNNNNNNNNNNNNNNNNNNNNNNNNNNNNNNNNNNNNNNNNNNNNNNNNNNNNNNNNNNNNNNNNNNNNNNNNNNNNNNNNNNNNNNNNNNNNNNNNNNNNNNNNNNNNNNNNNNNNNNNNNNNNNNNNNNNNNNNNNNNNNNNNNNNNNNNNNNNNNNNNNNNNNNNNNNNNNNNNNNNNNNNNNNNNNNNNNNNNNNNNNNNNNNNNNNNNNNNNNNNNNNNNNNNNNNNNNNNNNNNNNGAGAGAGAGAGAGAGAGAGAGAGAGCAACAAGAUUCAGAUUCAGAGAAGUGCAGCAACAAGGUUCAUGGGUUUAGAGAAGGGGGAAGCAACGAGCAGCAGAGGGAGAUAGGCAAGGGAGCAGCGGCAUGAAGAUUAGAGAAGAGCAGCAGCAAAAGGGACGAGGGGAGGAGCAGCAGCAGUUGGGAAGAGGCAAGGGAAGGAGGAGGAGUAGCUGGUUCGAGUUGAGAAGUGGAGGAGCAGCAGCAAGGCGAGGGAAGAAGGAGCAGCAACAAGGCAUAGGAGAAGAAGAGCAGCAGGGGCGCGAGGUGUGGGGAAGCGCUGUGGUGCUGGUAACGCGGUGUGGAUGGAUGAUGGUGGAUUCGGGGAAGGAGAAGAAGAUGGUGGCACUGGUGGAUGGCGCAAGGUGGUGAUGUGGUGGGAGGUGCUGGUGGCGCGCCGCCACGCCGGCCUGGCCAAGGCGGCGGCCGGAGGUGGAGAAGGGGGUGUGAGGGAGAGAGUUGAGUAGCCAGGCCCAAUUGCAAUGGAGAUGUGGCUACGGAUUUUGAUCCCCUCCCGAUCAGAUCUGAAUGUUUUCACUUUGGCCCUCCUUCUUCCUUCUUUCUUCCCAAGUUGGUCCUCCCAUCUUUAGUUUGGCCCCUCGGUUACUUCUUUCCUUCACGCUCAGCUCCUUGACUCCAUCACUUGAUCAUUUGUAGUAGAAGAGUUUUGUGCCUUGUCGCACUUUUCUGCAAAAUAAACAAGUGACUAGUCAACAAUCCUUUUAUAUGAUUUUCAUGCAAUAUUUGAUAAUUCUUAGCAAGAAUAGAUGGACACAUCUCAAGAAAUGGUGAAUUUGUGUGUCAAAAUUAUAUAUAUGAAAUGUGCUUAUCAAGUUCCCCCACACUUAAAUCUUUGCUUGUCCUCAAGCAAAGGAAUAUGAUAAGAGCAAGAUAGUGAAUAGUGAGCUGACUAGAGAAUGCCAAGUGAAGUAGAUCUCUAAACAAUGCAUGCUUUGGACUUAGCUAGUGCAAAUCAAUGGUCAAGAGUGCUACAAAGCAAUAGGAUACUAGUAGACUCAAUCAUUUUAAACUUUUACAAUGAUAAAAGUGGAUCAACAAGUUCAAAUGAUGAUUGUGCCAAAGGUUCCUAAAGAGAGCAUGAUCCCAAGCACAAAAAAGAACAUAAACUUGUGAUCAAAUCACUUAUUUACAGACGUAAAGCAAUGAUAAUAUUUUAUUGAUCUCACCAAAGGAACAUACCAUCGAUCCCGAGAACAUGGUUUACACCUGGAUCGACCAAUUAUUAAUUUAGUUUUUUUGUUUGUCUCCCCAAAGGAACAUACCACCGAUCCCGAGAACAUGGUAUACACUUGGUUCGACAAUUACAUUUUUUUAUUAUUAAUUACUGCCCAAGCUAACCCGAUUUCACAUGCCACCGACCCCAGGAACAUGACAUGCUACUGUAGGUAGUCAGAUUUAUUUAUUCAUUAUUACUUAUCUUAAAUGAACAACGCAUAAGCACAAAAAUAGGAAUCAUCACUUCUCCAUGUCUUGUUCACAUGCUACCGAUCCAGGGAACAUAGCAUGCUAAUCCAUAGUGGUUAGGUGAUUGCUCUCAAUGGAACACAUUAGGCACAAACUCAGCAUCUGACACUUAAUGAUCUAGGUGUAUCGAGGUAAAAGCAGAAAAUGAUUAAGUUUUCUAGUGUACUAGGGAUUUGAGCACUCAAAACUAAUAACUUUCACUAAUUUCAGCAAAGCAAGCAGUAUGUAGAUCACUAGUUUACAAGGCAUUCACGAUUCAGUUCACAUAUUCACAUCAAGCAUCAUAUGUCAAAGGUAAAAUUCAGUGGGACGACAUUUAAGAAAUGGCUCAAGCAACCCAAAUAUCAAAUGAUUUCAGCAUGUAUCAAUGGAUGAUAUAUUAAGAUUUGGGUCAUGAAAUAGCUCACCGGGUUUAUAUAGGAAGUAGCACUCGCUUAACGCUCUCUAAACUGCAGCUCUUCUCUUUUUGCUUCUCUAUCCCCAUGCCUGCUCCAGCUUCACUCCUCUUCGCGUGUGCCCAUUGCUUCUCCUCAUCACCAUGCUGUGAAUCCACCAGGAUCCCAGGGAAUGUCAUCUCGAACUCGGUCAACUCGCAGUAAAUGGUACACAAGCAUCAACCUGAAAGAACACUCAACAACCAAGCCAAUACAAGUGACAGAGAGAAUGCCCUCUAAGUCAUCGAUAGAGUACCCUAUCAUAUAAGUAUAUCUAUUGAGCAAAUCAGGAACAUGCAUCAACAACAAGUCACAUGGUGCAUAGGCAAUAUCAGCGAUAUGACAUGUCUUGUCCAAAAAGCCGAGAUCAUACCUGAGAUAGUUAGGAAGAAGCUUCAAGACUACCUCAAUUGAAGAUACCAAGUGAGGUGUGGUAGUAGAAAUUUCAACCGGACUCGUGUCAACAAGUGAAAUAGUAGAGCUUGGCUCCUUGACAUCUGAAUCCACCUCACCAUACUCAACCAUGAAGCUCUCCAUCUCAGGCUCCAGUGUUGAGGAAACAAUGCGGCUAACAUCAUCGAAGGUGAACUUCUCCAUAUCUGGCUCUAGCAACACAUGAUCAAUAUCAACUAAAGGUGACUCCUCAAUAUCAAAAACAACUAACUGCAGCUCUGGCUCAUCCAUGGAAGAAUCAUCACAAUGCAAAACCGAAUCUCCAACACUAGUAUCCAUAUGAUCUGUAGCGUGUGUGUCAACUAGAAUGGUGUCAUCAUCGUCAAAGAUAAUCCAUGCAAGCUCGAUCUUGUCACACUAAGAUAGAGGUUCAGGGUUCUGUGUAAGAAUUGGUGGCUGAGGUGUAGUGAUUUGUUGCAAGCAAACCAAUGAAUCAGACAUGGGCUUCUUAUUGUACCAUUGAAGUUGCUGGAAAGCUAUGCUCUCAAUUAGCAGAAAAGCUUCAUCAAGUGUCUUGUUUGUAAUAGCUCCACCCGCUGCCAUAUCGACAUACGCUCGAGUGUUCGAAGUCAAUCCUCUAUAGAAUAUCUGCAACUCUAACCAUCUCUCGAGCCCAUGAUUAGGACAUCUCCUGAAUAAGGCUUUGUAUCUCUCCCAAGCAUCAUUCAAGCUCUCUGUCAGGACCCCAAUCCUAAGUCACACCGAUCUAGCAUGUAACACAUCAUAUCACUUUGCGGCCUCACGCACGGUAUUCCCACGGGUGCCACCUUACCUGGCCCGGGACCGUUUGCGCCUUUUGGCUCACGUAUAUGAUAGUGCCGCUAGCAUCCAUAUGACAAAGAACCCGGGCUGACAUGGCUAGUCGUGAACCCAAAGUGGCACUAACUUACAAGGACAGGCAUACAUGACCCAGCAACGAACGUGUCGGUCAUCAGCGAGUGAAUCCAGGCUGUAGCAACUGGGCUAGCAGGACUCCGGUAAACCGGGCUGUAGCAGGCUAACAGGACUCCGGUAGACACCGCGUGACAUUUCCCCGAAGGGACAGACACAGGAACGAAGAAGGUCACAUGCCGGCCAGCCUAAGUGUUUCGGAGCAGUAGAAAGCUACCAAGGCUCAGUGGAAGCACUAGGAGACAUUUCCCGGUAAGAGAGGCUACCAAGGAUAAACAACUAGAUAGUCAGAUCCCACACAUACCAAGCAUUUCAAAACAUGCACACAAUAUGCUCGAUAUGUGCAAAUACAACAUGGCAUCAGAACAUGACUCUACAACUCAAGUAUUUUAUUCAAUAGGCUCCGAGGAGCGAGAUAUUACAAGCAUGAGUCUCAUGACUCAACAUUCAGAGCAAACAAGUCAAGCACAAACGGAAGUUUAACAUGUCUGAGUACAGACAUCUACAAAAGAAAAAGGCUGAGAAGCCUGACUGUCUAUCAGAUCCUGCCGAGGGCACAAGAUCGUAGCUGAGGUAACAAGCUAAACGUCGAAGUCCACGUGGAAGUACUAGCGAGACUGAAGUCUCUCUGCAAAAACAUAAAUUAAGCAACAUGAGUACAAAUGUACCCAGCAAGACUUACAUCAGAUCUAACUACAUAUGCAUCAUUAUCAACAAGGGGAUGGUGGGGUUUAACUGCAGCAAGCCAGCUUUGACUCGGUGGCUAUCCUGAACUACGACUGCAAGUAACUCUUUUGAGGUGGCGCACAUGAGUCCACAUAUUCACCAUAUCAAUACACCACUAUGGAUCCGCUCCCGUCUUCCUACGAGAACGCCAUCCAUAGCACUCACGCUUAUCUUGCGUAUUUUAGAGUAUCCACUUUCACUUGUCUAUGAACUGUAUAGGCAACCCAGAAGUCCUUUACCGCGGACACGGCUAUUCGAAUAGAUGAUAUUAACCCUGCAGGGGUGUACUUCUGCACACACGCUCUCACCACUUACCGCCGUUUACACGACAUGUACUCGGCAACCUUCAAGUGGAAGCCCAAGGAGGGUGUCGGCCACGACCUGACUAACCACACAAGUCUCUCGCCCAGGUUUAUCGCCUAUUCGGGUUCCAUCCGCAAGGAGAUCCGGCCGGGGUUUGGCUCACGGCCCCAAACGAUGUGAGCAGGGUUCCCAAGCCCACCAUCCGGGUGCCACUUGGUACACCAUGCCACUGUGCCUAGUCUGUGCCAAGCCCACCUGUACCGGGUGCCACUUGGUAGACUACUAACACUACCUACAAACACCAGAAACUAGUUGCAACUCUUGGACAGAGAUCAUGUUGAUUAAUAAGUCAAGAGAGUCAAUUAAGGAUCCCAAUGUGUGGUAGUAGUUGUUCAUGGAUCACAAACACAGAACUCAGUUCCUGAGGACGGCUACAAUGAGACAACCCACCAUGUACUCCUACAUGGCCUCUCACCGCUACCUUUACCAAAUCGUGUUCACACACUUAGCUCACACAUAGUAGGGCAUGUUCACACGCCUCUGAUUCAUCCCCGAUGAAUCAAACCUGACUCAACUCUAAGCAGUAGCAGGCAUGACAAACAAGCAUGAAUGAGUAGGCACAACCGGGCUCAAACAACUCCUACUCAUGCUAGUGGGUUUCAUCUAUUUACUGUGGCAAUGACAGGUCAUGCAAAGGAUAAAGGGGUUCAGCUACCGCAGCAAGUAACAGAUGAAUCGAUGUUGUCCUAAUGUAGUAAAAGAGAGCAGGAGCGAGAGAGUAGGAUUGUAUCGGAAUGAACAAGGGGGUUUUGCUUGCCUGGCACUUCUGAAGAUAGUAUAGUUCUUCAUCGGUGUCAUCGAACUCAUCGUCGGAACCACGUCUAUCGAGAGGGAACAAUUACCGGCAACAGAGAAGAAACACAAUCAAUGCAAUGCACAUUAUGAUGCAUGAUCAUGACAUGGCAACAUGCUGGUGUUUUGAGCUAAUGCAGCUAGCAACAAAGUUAAAUGAAGUUGGUUUGAACCCUAAGUUCAAAUCCAAACUCCAUAUGUGAUUUCUUAAAUGCCAUUUAAUUGAAUUGUCCUAAACAGUAGUCAUAAGUUGUUCUAACAUGAAUGAAAACAGUACAAAUGGAUAGAUUGAAUUUUUCUGAUCAUUUUUCAUAUAUAAAUUAUUUCAUUUAGAGUUACGGUUGAAUUUAUAUGAAUUUUAGAAGUUUAUACCAUUUUCUGGAAUUUCCUGAAUUAAAAUUAAUCUAGAAAAUGAGUUAUGGCGUCAGCACUACGUCACUAUGACCUCAGCUGGUCAACGGGGCCGGUCCAGGUCAAAUCUGACUAGUGGGUCCCAUUGGUCAGUGUCACAGUGCUGUCUACGGUCGCUGCCGUGUGGGCCCAGUCAACGGCCACGUCAGCAUGGUCAAAACUGACGCGUGGGGCCAUCAUGGUUAAUUUAAUCUAAACAGGAAUUAAACUGUGGUUAGUUAAGUGUGUGGGGCCUAGCGUCAGUGGCACGUGGCGGUAAUUAGUGGCUAAUUAAGCCAACCACGUCAGCAAGUGGCGCCGGCGACCACGCCGACGGCGGGACCUCGCCGGAGUUGCUCGGGAUGGCGCCACAGACGGUGGUUUGCGACGGGGUUUGGCUCUACGCGGAGCUGGAGGAGUGGCGCAUCCACUGGUGGCAGCAAAUGGAGCUGGGGUGGCCUGUAGCGGCAGCGAUGGUGAGUUGGGCGGCGGUCGGAGCUCGGGUGCUCGCGGUUUUGGUGCUAUGGCCUGCGUUCGAGCAAGUAGCAGGCCGAAGAGGCUCAACGCGGUGCUGUGAGUGCAACGGGCACACGCACGGGACCAAAUGGUCACCGGAAUGUGGACGGCGACGAGCUCGUGCAGCGGCGCGGUUCGGUCUUCAAGGGGGCGACGGCUACAACAAGAAAUCGAGGCGAGGAAGAGGGGGAUUCGGUCCGUGAGCUCACCGCGGAGAUGUUGGGAUGGUCGGCGUGCUCGGAGGAGGCUUGGAGGUGACGGAAUGGCAGUGACGAUCUCGGCAGCCCGAGGAAGGGGACGGAGCCAAUGGCGGUGCUCCAAGGUGUCCGGCGUUGUGUGGCUCGGUGGAGAGGGCGACGAUGUCGUGUUGGAGCCUGGGGAGGCAUCGGAGGGGCUCGGGGGUGGCUGUGGCCGUAGUGGCAGCGGGCGGCGGCGAUGGUUGCGCUCGGGCAUGGGAGGGAGAGAGAGCAGAGGAGGGGAGAGGCACGGGAGAGAGUGAGAGGGGGCCAGGGGGUGCGUGGCAUCGUCCAGAAGAUCGGGGAGGCCAGGCAGGCAGGGAGGAGCUGGCGCGGCUCGCCUGCCCGCCGGGCACGCAACUGCUUCUCCUCCUGGCAAGAGGAAGAAGACAGUGUUGCCCCUGGUGGGUCGGGCUAGCUUUGCCCGGCUGGGCUGCUACAGUGGUGGGCUGGCUGGGCUUCCAGGUAAGUCCUUCUCUCUCCUUUCUUCAAUUCUAUUUCUAUUAUUCUGUAGUCUUUAGGGCUUUAUUAAAAAUACCUAGACAGAUCCAAAAAUCAUAAAACUUCUCAAUGCCACUGUUUGGAAUAUAACCAAUAGCAAACAUUUUAGUUUAUGAUUAUUUGAGCAGUUAAAAUAUUUAAUAGCAUUUAAAUGCCCAAAUGCAAAUACUAUAUGAUUUAAUUCAAAGCCCAAAUAUGUCAUGGAAAAAUGUGCAUCACCUCUGGCUACUGUUUACAGUAUUUCCCAUAAAUGAUGAACAUUUUUGAAAGCCAUUUGGACUUACGGAAAAUAUUUUAGGUGAACCUAGUGAAUCCUUUAAUGCUAGGGUUAGGACAAUCCCCAUUUCAAUUUUUUGUAAAAGUAAACAUGAUGCAUCACCAAAGACUAGCACUAGUGCAUUGCCAGAAGCUAGGGAUGUGACAACUCGCCCCCACUAAACAAGAAUCUCGUCCCGAGAUUCAAGCGUAGGGUAGGAUGAAGGGGGAACGCAAACUAACACAAUCUUCACGAUCCAGGUUGCACUUCAAAUGAACGUUGAUUCAAUCACCAUCUUUGUCUAGUCGUCUUGCUGUGAGAACUCCAACCCACAUGACAACGAGAGGAAAGGAAAAACUCUAGAAGGGUCGAUCUUCUCGGAGAUCGAAUCAACUCAGGAUCAACUCUCGGAGGGAGACAUGGAAACAUCUCUCGAGCUGAGACACGAAGCAUACAUCUAGAGGGAUGGAGUGGAACAGAUGACGAGGGGUUAUGUGCCAUGAUUCCAAAAUGGCACCUUAGGGAAGGUGACUUGCAGAAAUAUCCCCUUAAGUGGAAAAAGAAUUACUUUUGAUUCAGAGAUCAUUGAAACUCUUAUACCAACCUAAGGCAAAUCACAACAAUUGUUUGGCGGAGUUCGAAGGAAUGGCAUACUCGGACUAGUAUGGAUGAUGUGGAUUACCUUGUUGAAGACAACACAAGGGAUGAUUUUGCUUAUCACCGAAAAUGGAUGAGACCCAUGGUAGGACCACUUUUGAAAAUGAUCCUGAUUAGUAAUUACUGAGAAGGUAAUCCAGAGUAGGGUGGCAUGAUGGCGGUGCAAGCUGGGAACAACAUGCAAAUGAUGGGAAUGAUUCUGGUAACUGUGGAGGAACCUCAUCAGUAGAGAGUGAAUCCACUGUUUGAAAGGGUUAUAGCAUAAUCGAGGAAACUGAGAGCACUAUGCAAUUAACGCCGACGAUAAAACUUAGCACUUGCGCGUGCUCUCAAGAACUUUGAGCAUUUCCAUAUUCAUCAAGGUUUUACCAAUAUCCGUGUCAAGGAUCCUGGCAACACAACAUACUACCCUGAUGAAUGGUGAUGGACGAUGCAGAUGCAAAGGAAGAGAACGCUUUCUCAGAUUUCACCUUAGCGAGGCCAAGGAAACAAAAUCUGGAUGAUCAACCGAGAGACAUUUAGCACUCCGCUUCUAAUGUUCUCCUUGAUGUGCUAGCGUAACCCAUUUAUAGAUAUGGUUUGAUAUCUAGAACAUCAAGUAAAAAGUCGGACUUCGGGAGCGCAAGAAUCCAUAAGGAAACAACUACUGGAUUAAAUCCUACGAGAUCCUUAUGGGGAGGUCGCCAACUUCUUCAAUCAAGCUACUACAAUAAUAGAUCUUCCGGCUAGGUGUGUCGGCCACGACAUCCACUUUACCGGGUUACAAAGAGACCAUUAUUAUAGUUCUUGGGAAACGUUCCAACCAUCAUAUCUGCCUGAGAUUCAGAUCUGGUUGGUGUCAGAAUAAUCCAGACUCAUCGAGUCUAGGAAGAAAAAUGAAAGUUUGCAACACAAAUCGACGAGAUGACGUUGCGAGAUUCUCGGGAAAUGAACUACGAUAGCAAGCUCCAAAACAUGAUCUGGUUCUGCUACACACAUGUGAACAUGUUGUCCCAGACAAAACAUGAUCACAUGGUAGUCUUACAAUAAAACACUACCGAGUUCCGGUGGGGAACCAUCAACAAGGAUAUCGAAGUCUUGUGCAUGAACUAGUAUUCACACAUCAACUCCUUUUCCUUGAACAAUUCAAUCAGUGGCUUGGUGUUCUAGGGAUACAUAUGGAAUGAAGGUUGUGAGCCUGUCAAACCAUAUCAUACUUCACACAUGCAUGACUGACUUGGGAUCGUACCAGGGAAACAAAAACAAUCUUUCUCGAACUCAUGGCAGCAACUUGCUCCAAAUGCACGUGAAUCAGGGAAAGUCACUUGUUUCAUCCAACAUAUUCUUCACGAAUGGGACAUGAAGAUAAUGCUUAUAAAAGUUUCCAACACUAGGUUGAUAUUCAACAUGAAUCAUGGGGUGACAAAAUGCUGCUGAUGGGCUCAACAGUAACUCAUCGGAAUUUCCAUAUCACUGGACUUCCGCCAUCAUGUGAACACGGUGAUAGUAUUGGUCAGACCAAAAGAUGUAAUGGUGUAUGCUCGAGGGAUCAACCACGAGUAAGACAACAUUACGAAUAUCGUUGGUUCUAACUUGAUUUGACGAUAGCCCACACUCAAAUCUAGGUUUGGACAAGAAAAUAGAUUCAACAACUGAUCACGGGGAUCAGUCGAUGAAGAUAUCAUCUUUCUUCAACACACACACACCCACACUCAAGGAUAUCCCUUAGUGAUGAACUAAGUCGGACAAGCUUCCAUCUUCCAACUCUCCAAGUUGUUGUUUAGCUUAACCAACUAGCUCGGGGUAUCCAACACAGAAUCUUGGAGAAUGGGUGGUUUGGAAGAAAACCAACAUGAUCACGAACUCAACAUAGCGGUCAGGUGAAACCUGGUCAUACUUCCGAGAAGAUAUUCGGAAAAUCACGAACCAUCGAUACAUUACUAAGCUUGAGAACAAUCUUGCUUUUCAGGGCAAGACGAUAUGAUCAGAGAGCGAGGGAUUGACACAAUCCUAACUCAUUGAUAGAAGAGUGCACCGAAGAUAAGGACUAGGUAGCACAAUCUAUCUUAGAAUGAUGAUUCAAAAACCAACACGCUAAGAAUGAAAUUAUUGUCCAUUAACUACCAAGCAACGGAGUUGCUAGGAGUAUUGAUUUCGCACAUCACGGUACACUUGUCGGCAUUCCGGUUACAAUAACAUGGGAACCGAGGAAUGAACAAUGAUGGCAAGAAGUAUUACUGUGUCAAGAAUUCAUAAGAGGUGGUGCAAUUCUCAUGACACUCUUGACAUAAAGAUGGUAACACUCCAAGGUAGAACAGAGCAAAAGUUGGAUUGGUAUUUUGAUCUGCAAAGUACAACUACUUUGAUCCAAUCCCGGAAAUGGAUGAGAUACUGGAGUUUGUUUCUCCUAGUCAUUCCCGAAUAGAAUGGCUUGACGGGACACAAGAGUAGUGGCAUCGAUGAACUCGAAUGCAUAACUACUCCUGACUAUUAAUCGAUAGACGAGGGCCAGAAAACAACUAAAGAGAGACAAAUCAAAGGAACACAUGUUUUUCUGAGUUGUGGAUGCAUGGAUUGGUAUGCCGAACGAAUUCAACAUAUUUCUUCCGGAUAACCCAUGCAGAAAGGUUGAACUGGCAGAGUCGCAAAAUAGAAUGGAGAACCCAUCGAGGAUACUCCUAUUGUGAUCUUUUGAUCCAACAAACUUCUGCCAUAAAGUGGUUCAUAGUAUUUGGAAGAAGGAAAUACCACGAACUUUGAGGACUAUCGCAAAGGUUACUAAUAACCUAAAGGGACGAGCAAACACUAUCAACAUGAAGUAAGUAGGGUGGAUCCUGGGUCAAGAACCCAGGAAUAGAAUGCCUACUAACUAAGUGGCAUCACGGGAUGCUUUCGAGAAUGAUGGCCAGAAUCAUCACAUUGAUAACACAAAACAUGGCUAAGUUACUAGGUGAUACUCUAGACACCUAGGGUCAUAAUAAUAGCUCCAACAUAAAUGCCAAGGCAAUAGAGUACCUCAACUCAGCAACUAGUGUGACUAACCUGGCCUAAAAGAACAUCAAAACCAGAGGAAGGGAUUUCCAAAUGCAUCAGACUAUUUAGAAACCUGGGAUGACUCGGACAACAUAACAGCUGUAAAUGCUCAAAAAGAUUUGAGACAAGCUACAAAAAUGGUGGCAUAACCACUCAGGAGCACAAUAUCAAGGUUUCGAGAUCAACAACUAACAUACGGAGGUAGAACCGAGGCUUAAAUCCAACAAGCUUAUGAAUCUACUGAUUAGUAACACGUCAUCCUGAUAGAUAGAUGAGAAUGCCUAGUUCUUAAUCCCCGUAGAAAAGAAGAGGUUGACUCGGAUCAGAAGGGCAUAGGGUAAAGGAGUAAAAAGAGCCUUACGUUCCAUCCCACAAUCAAUUCCCUUACAUAACUAAAGCAUUUCUAGACUCAACUUCGACCAGUUUGGCUUGGUAAUCCUACAGGCAGUCAGGCUCUGAUACCAAAGCUGUCAGGACCCCGAUCCUAAGUCACACCGAUCUAGCAUGUAACACAUCAUAUCACUUUGCGGCCUCACGCACGAUAUUCCCACGGGUGCCACCUUACCUGGCCCGGGACCGUUUGCGCCUUUUGGCUCACGUAUAUGAUAGUGCCGCUAGCAUCCAUAUGACAAAGAACCCGGGCUGACAUGUCUAGUCGUGAACCCAAAGUGGCACUAACUUACAGGGGUAGGCAUACAUGACCCAGCAACGAACGUGUCGGUCAUCAGCGAGUGAAUCCAGGCUGUAGCAACUGGGCUAGCAGGACUCCAGUAAACCAGGCUGUAGCAGGCUAACAGGACUCCGGUAGACACCGCAUGACAUUUCCCGAAGGGACAGACACAGGAACGAAGGACACAUGCCGGCCAGCCUAAGUGUUCCGGAGCAGUAGAAAGCUACCAAGGCUCAGCGGAAGCACUAGGAGACAUUUCCCGGUAAGAGAGGCUACCAAGGAUAAACAACUAGAUAGUCAGAUCCCACACAUACCAAGCAUUUCAAUAACAUGCACACAAUAUGCUCGAUAUGUGCAAAUACAACAUGGCAUCACAACAUGACUCUACAACUCAAGUAUUUUAUUCAAUAGGCUCCAAGGAGCGAGAUAUUACAAGCAUGAGUCUCAUGACUCAACAUUCAGAGCAAACAAGUCAAGCACAAACGGAAGUUUAACAUGUCUGAGUACAGACAUCUACAAAAGAAAAAGGCUGAGAAGCCUGACUGUCUAUCAGAUCCUUCCGAGGGCACAAGAUCGUAGCUGAGGUAACAAGCUAAACGUCGAAGUCCACGUGGAACUACUAGCGAGACUGAAGUCUCUCUGCAAAAACAUAAAUUAAGCAACGUGAGUACAAAUGUACCCAGCAAGACUUACAUCAGAUCUAACUACAUAUGCAUCAUUAUCAACAAGGGGAUGGUGGGGUUUAACUGCAGCAAGCCAGCUUUGACUCGGUGGCUAUCCUGAACUACGACUGCAAGUAACUCUUUUGAGGUGGCGCACACGAGUCCACAUAUUCACCAUAUCAAUACACCACUAUGGAUCCGCUCCCGUAUCCCUACGAGAACGCCAUCCAUAGCACUCACGCUUAUCUUGCAUAUUUUAGAGUAUCCACUUUCACUUGUCUAUGAACUGUACAGGUAACCCAGAAGUCCUUUACCAUGGACACGGCUAUUCGAAUAGAUGAUAUUAACCCUGCAGGGGUGUACUUCUUCACAUACGCUCUCACCACUUACCGCCGUUUACACGACAUGUACUCGGCAACCUUCAAGCGGAAGCCCAGUGAGGGUGUCGGCCACGACCUGACUAACCACACAAGUCUCUCGUCCAGAUUUAUCGCCUAUUCGGGUUCCAUCCGCAAGGAGAUCCGGCCGGGGUGUCGCUCACGGCCCCAAACGAUGUGAGCAGGGUUCCUAAGCCCACAAUCCGGGUGCCACUUGGUACACCGUGCCACUGCGCCUAGUCUGUCCCAAGCCCACCUGUACCGGGUGCCACUUGGUAGACUACUAACACUACCUACAAACACCAGAAACUAGUUGCAACUCCUGGACAGAGAUCAUGUUGAUUAAUAAGUCGAGAGAGUCAAUUAAGGAUUCCAAUGUGUGGUAGUAGUUGUUCAUGGAUCACAAACACAGAACUCAGUUCCUGAGGACGGCUACAAUGAGACAACCCACCAUGUACUCCUACAUGGCCUCUCACCGCUACCUUUACCAAAUCGUGUUCACACACUUAGCUCACACAUAGUAGGGCAUGUUCACACGCCUCUGAUUCAUCCCCGAUGAAUCAGACCUGACUCAACUCUAAGCAGUAGCAGGCAUGACAAACAAGCAUGAAUGAGUAGGCACAACCGGACUCAAACAACUCCUACUCAUGCUAGUGGGUUUCAUCUAUUUACUGUGGCAAUGACAGGUCAUGCAAAGGAUAAAGGGGUUCAGCUACCGCAGCAAGUAACAGAUGAAUCGGUGUUGUCCUAAUGCAGUAAAAGAGAGCAGGAGCGAGAGAGUAGGAUUGUAUCGGAAUGAACAAGGGGGUUUUGCUUUCCUGGCACUUCUGAAGAUAGUAUAGUUCUUCAUCGGUGUCAUCGAACUCAUCGUCGGAACCACGUCUAUCGAGAGGGAACAAUUACCGGCAACAGAGAGGAAACACAAUCAAUGCAAUGCACAUUAUGAUGCAUGAUCAUGACAUGGAAACAUGCUGGUGUUUUGAGCUAAUGCAGCUAGCAACAAAGUUAAAUGAAGUUGGUUUGAACCCUAAGUUCAAAUCCAAACUCCAUAUGUGAUUUCUUAAAUGCCAUUUAAUUGAAUUGUCCUAAACAGUAGUCAUAAGUUGUUCUAACAUGCAUGAAAACAGUACAAAUGGAUAGAUUGAAUUUUUCUGAUCAUUUUUCAUAUAUAAAUUAUUUCAUUUAGAGUUACGGUUGAAUUUAUAUGAAUUUUAGAAGUUUAUACCAUUUUCUGGAAUUUCCUGAAUUAAAAUUAAUCCAGAAAAUGAGUUAUGGCGUCAGCACUACGUCACUAUGACCUCAGCUGGUCAACGGGGCUGGUCCAGGUCAAAUCUGACUAGUGGGUCCCAUUGGUCAGUGUCACAGUGCUGUCUACGGUCGCUGCCGUGUGGGCCCAGUCAACGGCCACGUCAGCAUGGUCAAAACUGACGCGUGGGGCCACCGUGGUUAAUUUAAUCUAAACAGGAAUUAAACUGUGGUUAGUUAAGUGUGUGGGGCCCAGUGUCAAUGGCACGUGGCGGUAAUUAGUGGCUAAUUAAGCCAGCCACGUCAGCAAGUGACGCCGGCGACCACGUCGACGGCGGGACCUCGCCGGAGUUGCUCGGGACGGCGCCACAGACGAUGGUUUGCAACGGGGUUUGGCUCUACGGGGAGCUGGAGGAGUGGCGCAUCCACUGGUGGCAGCAAAUGGAGAUGGGGUGGCCCGUAGCGGCGGCGAUGGCGAGUUGGGCGGCGGCCGUAGCUCGGGUGCUCGCGGUUUUGGUGCUACAGCCUGCGUUCGAGCAAGUAGCAGGCUGAAGAGGCUCUACGCGGCGCUGUGAGUGCAACGGGCACACGCACGGGACCAAAUGGUCACCGAAAUGUGGCCAGCGACGAGCUCGUGCGGCGGCGCGGUUCGGUCUUCAAGGGGGUGACGGCUACAGCAAGAAAUCGAGGCGGGGAAGAGGGGGAUUCGGUCCGUGAGCUCACCGCGGAGACGUUGGGACGGUCGGCGUGCUCGGAGGAGGCUUGGAGGUGACGGAAUGGCGAUGACGAUCUCGGCGGCCCGAGGAAGGGGACGGAGCCAAUGGCGGUGCUCCAAGGUGUCCGGCGUCAUGUGGGUCGGUGGAGAGGGCGACGAUGUCGUGUUGGAGCCUGGGGAGGCGUCAGAGGGGCUCGGGGGUGGCUGUGGCCGUAGUGGCAGCGGAUGGCGGCGAUGGUUGCGCUCGGGCGCGGGAGGGAGAGAGAGCAGAGGAGGGGAGAGGCACGGGAGAGAGUGAGAGGGGGCCAGGGGGGUGCGUGGCAUCGUCCAGAAGAUCGGGGAGGCCAGGAAGGCAGGGAGGAGCUGGCGCGGCUCGCCUGCACGCCGGGCACGCAGCUGCUUCUCCUCCUGGUAAGAGGAAGAAGACAGUGCUGCCCCUGGUGGGCCGGGCUGGCUUUGCCCGGCUGGGCUGCUACAGUGGUGGGCUGGCUGGGCUUCCAGGUAAGUCCUUCUCUCUCCUUUCUUCAAUUCUAUUUUCUAUUAUUAUGUAGUCUUUAGGGCUUUAUUAAAAAUACCUAGACAGAUCCAACAAUCAUAAAACUUCUCAAUGCCACUGUUUGGAAUAUAACCAACAGCAAACAUUUUAGUUUAUGAUUAUUUGAGCAUUUAAAAUAUUUAAUAGCAUUUAAAUGCCCAAAUGCAAAUACUAUAUGAUUUAAUUCAGAGCCCAAAUAUGUCAUGGAAAAAUGUGCAUCACCUCUACUGUUUACAGUAUUUCCCAUAAAUUAUAAACAUUUUUGAAAGCCAUUUGGACUUUCGGAAAAUAUUUUAGGUGAACCUAGUGAAUUCCUUUAAUGCUAGGGUUAGGACAAUCCCCAUUUCAAUUUUCUGUAAAAGUAAACAUGAUGCAUCACCAAAGACUAGCACUAGUACAUUGCCAGAAGCUAGGGAUGUGACACUCUCGCCUUCACGUUGAACGAAAUUGAAGAUCUCAUCUCGAAUUGCGGACUACUUGUGUAGUGGGAUAUAUUUAUCCAAGAAAGCUUGUGAUAUCUCAUUGUAGAUCUACUCUUGAUCUCGUGGUAGAUCUACUCUUGUAAUACCCACAUCAUCAAUAUCAAUCAAGCAGGACGUAGGGUUUUACCUCCAUCAAGAGGGCCCGAACCUGGGUAAAACAUCGUGUCCCUUGUCUCCUGUUACCAUCCGCCUAGACGCACAGUUCGGGACCCCCUACCCGAGAUCCGCCGGUUUUGACACCGACAUUGGUGCUUUCAUGAGAGAGCGGCAGAAGAAGAGGUAGAGGAUUACAUGCCUGCCUCCGGAGACGAGGCAAGCCUCGACGACGACGAAUUCGUCGUGCCUGAGGAUCCCGUCGAACAAGAGCGUUUUAAACGCAGGCUUAUGGCCACGACAAACAACCUCAAGAAAAAGCAGCAGCAGCUUAGAGCUGAUCAAGAUCUGCUAGCCGAUAGAUGGACUGAAGUUCUUGCGGCCGAAGAGCAUGAGCUCGAACGCCCCUCCAAAAGCUACCCUAAACGCAAGUUGCUCCCCCGAUUAGAGGAGGAGGCAUAUGAACCUGCAUCACCAGCAGGCAAUACGGCUGACCGACCACCCCGUGGCCGCGACAGAGAGGCCUCUAGGCCCUCCACUAGAACCGUACCCCGGCAGUGCUCGAGAAGCACAAGGCCACAGGGGAACGCUCUGGACUUGCGAGAUAUAUUGGAGGAUAAGGCAAGACAAUCAAGAUCGAUCUAUGGAUUGCGUGGGCGCCCCAUGAUACGUGACGACAACCGUCGCGCCGGACACAGUAAGUCCGGCCGGGCCGAACACAGUAGACAAAGCUCUCUUGAACUUCGUCGUGAUAUCGCCCAAUACAGAGGCGCCGCACACCCACUAUGCUUCACAGAUGAAGUAAUGGAUCAUCAAAUCCCCAAAGGGUUUAAACCCGUGAACAUUGAAUCUUAUGAUGGCACAACAGACCCCGCGGUUUGGAUCGAGGACUAUCUCCUUCAUAUCCACAUGGCCCGCGGUGAUGAUCUCCACGCCAUCAAAUACCUCCCACUCAAGCUUAAAGGACCAGCCCGACAUUGGCUUAACAGCUUGCCAGCAGAGUCAAUUGGGAGUUGGGAAGACCUGGAAGCCGCAUUCCUCGAUAACUUCCAAGGCACGUAUGUGCGACCACCAGACGCUGACGACCUAAGCCAUAUAAUUCAGCAGCCAAACGAAUCGGCCAGAGAAUUCUGGACACGGUUCCUAACUAAGAAAAAUCAAAUCGUCGACUGUCCAGAUGCGGAGGCCCUCGCGGCCUUCAAACAUAACAUCCGCGACGAGUGGCUUGCCAGGCACCUAGGACAAGAAAAGCCAAAAUCCAUGGCAUCCCUCACAUCACUCAUGACCCGCUUCUGCGCGGGUGAGGACAGCUGGCUAGCCCGCAGCAACAACAUCAGCAAAAAUUCUGGCAGUCCGGAUAUCAAGGACCGCAAUGGCAGGUCGCGUCACAACAAAAGCAAAUGCCGCAUUAACGACGACAAUAGUGAGGAUACGGCAGUCAAUGCCGGAUUCAGAGGCUCCAAACCCGGUCAGCGGAAAAAGCCAUUCAAAAGAAAUACUCCGGGUCCGUCCAAUUUGGACCGAAUACUCGACCGCUCGUGCCAGAUACACGGCACCCCCGAAAAGCCAGCUGACCACACCAAUAGGGUCUGUUGGGUAUUCAAGCAGGCAGGCAAGUUAAUUGCCGAAAACAAUGACAAGGGGCUGCAUAGCGAUGACGAGGAAGAGACCCGACCGCCGAACAAUAGAGGACAGAAGGGUUUCCCCCCACAAGUGCGGACGGUGAACAUGAUAUACACAAUCCACAUACCCAAAAGGGGGCGGAAGCGUGCACUCAGGGAUGUAUACGCGAUGGAGCCAGUCGCCCCGAAGUUCAAUCCAUGGUCUUCCUGCCCGAUCACUUUCGAUCGAAGGGACCACCCCACCAGCAUCCGCCACGGCGGAUUCGCCGCCUUGGUUUUAGACCCAAUCGUCGAUGGAUUUCACCUCAUCAGAGUCCUGAUGGACGGUGGCAGCAGCCUGAACCUGCUUUAUCAGGAUACAGUGCGCAAAAUGGGCAUAGACCCCUCAAGGAUUAAACCUACAAAGACGACCUUUAAAGGCGUCAUACCAGGUGUAGAGGCCAAUUGUACAGGCUCAGUUACACUGGAAGUGGUCUUCGGAUCCCGGGAUAACUUCCGAAGCGAGGAGUUAAUCUUCGACAUAGUUCCAUUCCGCAGCGGCUAUCAUGCUCUGCUUGGACGUACCGCGUUUUCAAAGUUCAACGCGGUGCCGCACUACGCAUACCUCAAGCUCAAGAUGCCAGGCCCUUGAGGAGUCAUCAUGGUCAACGGAAACACUGAACACUCUCUUCGAACGGAGGAACAUACAGCGGCUCUCGCGGUAGAAGUACAGUGCAGCCUCUUAAGGCAAUUCUCGAGUCCGGCCGCUAAGCGACCGGACACGGCUAAACGCGCCCGGAGUAACCUACAACAAGACCACCUGGCACGUUCCGAGCACGCGUAGCAAUGCGGCCCCAACCCCAGCCCCUGCAAAAUUUCAAGACAGGUCCUUCGCGUACAUCAUUAUGCUCUGGAGAUACCAUGGGCAUAGGGGGAGGGGCACGACCACGAUAGGCCCAGAAUGCGGCUUAACCACACCAGGGGCUCUCAAGUGUGUCGUUCUUUUUUCUCUCUCUUUUUUUUACCCACAGGACUCUGUUCAUCAGAGGCCCUGUCCGGCAGUAGACCUGUCGAACUCACGAUGCAAUAGCCAGGGAAGGAGAAAGGCUACGACGAAUAUCCAGGUGGUCUCCAUUACGAGCAUUAAAACUGUUUAAUACACCAUUCCGCAGCCUACCCCUGGAGGGGGACAUGUUUAAUAGUCCCAUCCCUUGCUUAUCGCACCAUUUGUAUCGUUCUGCAUUCACAGCAGUAUUUCUUGAAUAAACAAUGCAGCACCUUUUUGCUUGUAAUUGCAUUUCUUUCUUAUACAUAUAUGACAUGUUGCAUCCGUACACUUUUGUACGGCUAAAUACACCAGGGGCUUAUGCUUCCCGCAUCAUGGCGUGAUAAGUCCGAACACUUCCACAAGUGCGGCACCACGAACUUAUAGCAUUAUAUGCAUCGGCUCCGAAUCAUGUCUUGGGUCAAUAGUUGGGUUUGCCCGACUCCCAUGUUUUGGUACCUUAUGUUCUGUUGUAUCGGCUAAGGUAGCACUGGGAGAACCACUGCGAUUGCGCCCCAGUGGAGCUGGGCGAGCGCCUCAGUGGAGAAAGCUAAAACUGACCGUCAUGAUGAGGCGAGAGCCGGUCGCUAUUCGAGAGGUUUUUUCGAGUCCCUAAAGACUUAUGCCGCUUAGAGCGAGGAACCGGCUUUGUCCGGCCCAGGCGUGGAUAGCGCCCCAAAUUUGGCCUUCCGAACACUAGGGGCUUCGCCGAAAUUUAAAAUUAUAGAAUUCUAUGGCUAAGUGAGAGUGUUAAAGCACUAUAAGUCCAGUUGCCUUGUUCGUUGUGUUGAGCGCCUCCCUAGAUGGACCCAAAAAUGGGAACAAGAGUGCUCAAAUUUAUCCCGAACACCCUAGCACUCGUGGCAUGGGGGCUGAAGCCGACGACUUGCCAUCUCUCAGAUUUGAUAAACGGCCACACAGAAGGUAAUAUUUUAAAUUAACAAGCGUUGCUUAGCGCAUAUGAACAAAGUUUUCAGCGCACAGGAUAACAAAAUGCGAGUCUACUCAAAUAUUACAUCUUUGGAGCACUCACCCGCAAUAAUGCGGGCACCCUUCAUGACACUCUUAUAAUACAUCUCGGGCGUGCGAUACUCCUUGCCUGGCGGUGGCGCGUCCGUCACAAGCUUCUCAGCAUCCAUCUUGCCCCAUUGCACCUUUGCGCGGGCAAGGGCCCGACGGGCACCUUCAAUGCAGGCGGAGUGCUUGAUGACUUCAACCCAUGGACACACACCCACCAGCCGCCGCACCAGGCCGAAGUAGCUCCCAGGCAUGGCCUCCUUAGGCCACAGCCGAACUAUGAGGCCCUUCAUGGCCUGUUCGGCCACCUUGUGGAGCUCGACCAGCUGCUUCAGCUGGUCGCUAAGGGGCAUCGGAUGUCUGGCCUCAGCAUACUGAGACCAGUAGACCUUCUCCGUCGAGCUCCCCUCCUCGGCCCUAUAGAAAGCGGCAGCAUCGGACACGCUGCGGGGCAGAUCUGUGAACGCUCCUGGAGAGCUCCGAAUUCGGGUAAGUGAUAGGUAAUUCACACUCACAUGCUUACUUUGCAUGAAAAAUGUCUUACCCGCCGCUAUUUUCUUCAAUGCCUCGAUUUCCUGGAGGGCCUUGUAGGCUUUGGCCUUAGCGGCUCUGGCACUCUCAAGAGCCGUUGUAAGCUCGGACUCCCGAGUCUUCGAGUCACGCUCCAAACUCUCAUGUUUUUCCACGAGAGCCUGGAGCUCUUGCUGUACCUCCGCCACCCGCGCCUCCUGCUUCUCUCACUCGGUGUGCUCCGUGGCCGCAUUACGUUCGGCCGCGGACACCGCCUCCUUCAGGGUCGCCACCUCGUUCGUGGCCCCUGCAAUACCCAUGUUAUCCUUGUCAUCCUUCUUGCAACCAAAUCCUUUUCUGUAAGGUACAAUUUUAAUAAGGUGUUACUCACCUUCCUUAUCCUCGAGCUGCUUCUUGGCACGGCCGAGCUCGUUCUCGGACCGCUCGAGGCUUUGCUUCAAAGUAUUGACCUCCGCAGUCAGGGCGGCAGAGGUCAGCAGCACAGGCUGCAAUCCCAUAUUGACAUACUUUUUUUAUGACUCCUACGUAUAUCUUUUUAGAUCCUCAGUCCGGCUUUUCUUUCUGAAUACCGAACCGAGCAUCAGGGGCUACUGUCUAUGCGGUACUAUUUUACAUAUAUCAAAAUUCUUACCUCAAAGCCUGUUAGAAGGCUGCUGCAGGCUUCGGUCAGCCCGCUCUUGGCGAGCUGAACCUUCUGAAUCACCGCACUCAUGACAGUGCGGUGUUCCUCUUCGAUGGAGGCGCCGUUGAGCGCCUCCAGCAAGCUGUCCGGCGCUUCCGGUUGGACGGAGGCCGCUGGUGUCACGGUCUUGCCCUUCUUACGCAGGGGCCGCCCGCCGGACUCCGGAGCCACUACAGGUUCCGGGGUGGAGUCUGGUGCAAAGUCCGAGAGGUUGCCCUGCGGCACCUCCAGGGCCUCCUCCUGGUGGGUCCCUUCUCGGGAUCCCACCUCGGCAUCGUCCGCAUCACGGGGGGUGGAGGUGGUCGGAAGAGAAUCCAUAUCCGACGCACCCAAGGACCCGCUCGAUGAAGCAGGAAGAUCAUCCUUGGACGGACUGCAGGGUAGUAUGCGGCAUUAGAAAGACACCAUGUGGCGAAAAGAAAAACCAUGAAGUUAUUCGGGAGUCCGGAUACUUACGAUCUCGCCAGAGGCUUGGCCCUUGGAGGCCAAUCCUCGUCGUCGUCGCACCGCGCUGGCGGAGCAGUCCGGGGGAAGAGUCCUUCCCUUCUUGGACCCUUCGGCCUCCCUCGUCGGGGAGGCCUUCCUUUUCUUCCCUCCCCCCGCUGGGGGAGAGGCCUCCUUCUUCUCCUCCUCGCCUUUGUGGGAGGAGUCUGCCUCAGAGUCAUCAUCCGAUGACACCUGAAAACGAGAACUCUUUCGAGUGCCCGUGGCCUUCUUCUUGGCCUUCUUCUCCGGCACCACGUGGGGUGCCGGAGCCAGCAGCCCCGUUAAGCGGGCGUCCGCUGGGUCUUCUGGCAAUGGGGCCGGACAGAUAGUCUGUUCGGCCUUCUUCAGCCAGUCCUGUCAAAGGAGGGGUUUAGAUCCCGCAUAGAGUCAAACUAUGGAAAACAAGUGUCCCGUAAAGGGCAAAAUCGCUUACCUCGUUAGCCGGACGCUGCGAGCUGAAUCCGCGAUCUUCGGUAGCGGAUGCGGGAGCCUCGACACCCUUAAACAGCACCCUCCAGGCCUCUUCGUACGUAGUGUCUAAGAGCCCGCUCAAAGUCUGGUGCUGCGCCGGAUCGAACUCCCACAUAUUGAAGUCCCGUUGUUGGCACGGGAGAAUCCGGCGGAUGAGCAUGACCUGGACUACGUUGACAAGCUUGAGCUUCUUGUUCACUAGCUUUUGGAUGCAGGCUUGAAGUCCGGUCAGCUCCUCCGAAUCACCCCAUGUCCGGCCACUCUCCUUCCAGGAGGUGAGCCGUAUGGGGAUGCCAGAUCUGAAUUCGGGGGCCGCUGCCCAUUCAGGGUCACGCGGUUCGGUGAUGUAGAACCACCCCGAUUGCCACCCCUUAAUGGUUUCCAUGAAGGUGCCCUCGAGCCAAGUAACGUUGGGCAUCUUGCCCACCAUGGCGCCUCCGCACUCCGCUUGGCUGCCCUUCACAACCUUCGGCUUGACACUGAAGGUCUUGAGCCACAAGCCGAAGUGGGGCUGGAUGCAGAGGAAGGCCUCACACACGACGAUAAACGCCAAGAUAUUGAGGAUGAAAUUCGGGGCCAGAUCAUGGAAAUCCAUGCCAUAGUAGAACAUGAGCCCCCGGACAAAGGGAUGGAGUGGGAAGCCCAGUCCGCGGAGGAAAUGGGAAAGAAAUACUACCCUCUCAUGGGGCCUGGGGGUGGGGAUGAGCUCCCCCUCGUCGGGGAGCCGGUGCGCGAUGUCGCUGGACAGAUAUCCGGCGCUGCACAGCUUCUGGAUGUGCCCCUCCGUAACAGAGGAGGCCAUCCACUUGCCUCCCGCUCCGGACAUAGUUGGAGAAGGUUGAGGUGAGAUGUGCGGACUUGGGCGCUGGACCUCGAGUUCACGGAGAUGGAUAAGCAAAGGAGGAAGAAGGGGUAGGUAAAAGGGUUGGAUCUUUAUCCCCUUAUAUGGGCAGACGAAAAUAUGCGUCCCCACCGGCCUGAUAAAACUCGCUUAUCUCCCAAGCGCCGCAAUCAAUGGUGCGGUUGGGUUACCCACGUCCGUAUUGAUGGGAAUUCCGGAAUAAGGGGAACACGAUCUCUGCUUCGACAAGACGUCCCAAGGAAACCGCUUCCCUAAACACGCUGAGGUGGUACAAUAAAAACAAUUCGAGUAAAGGCUUGGUAGUGGUGUGACGUCACGCCACAAAAUACGUCAGCAGAUUGAACUUGUGUAAAUAUUAUUCUCUCUACGGUGGUAUGUGGAAUUUAUUUUGCAGAGUCGGACACUAUCCUGGUGUUCACAAUCUUCUAUAAAUUAUUCGAAGAAGGAACCCGCCUUGCAACGCCGAAGACAAUAUGCGUGCCCGACUCAUCUUCAUUGAAGUCUGGUUCAGGGGCUACAGAUGGAGUCCUGAACUAGGGGGUGUCCGGAUAGCCGAACUAUCAUCAUCGGUCGGACUCCAAGACUAUGAAGAUACAAGAUUGAAGACUUCGUCCCGUGUCCGGAUGGGACUUUCCUUGGCGUGGAAGGCAAGCUUCGCAAUACGGAUAUGUAGAUCUCCUACCAUUGUAACCGACUCUGUGUAAUCCUAGCCCUCUCCGGUGUCUAUAUAAACCGGAUGGCUUUAGUCCAUAGGACGAACAACAAUCAUACCAUAGGCUAGCUUCUAGGGUUUAGCCUCCUUGAUCUCGUGGUAGAUCUACUCUUGUAAUACCCACAUCAUCAAUAUCAAUCAAGCAGGACGUAGGGUUUUACCUCCAUCAAGAGGGCCCGAACCUGGGUAAAACAUCGUGUCCCUUGUCUCCUGUUACCAUCCGCCUAGACGCACAGUUCGGGACCCCCUACCCGAGAUCCGCCGGUUUUGACACCGACACCAACCAAAUGAUCUUGAUGGCAAGGAUCGAUACCAAGCACGAGCACCAUCUCGGAGAGAGAAUGUGAACAUCAUGCACUUGAUAGCUUCUUGAGGAACUCCAUGGUACUUUACUGUAUCUGAAUACUCCAUGACUCGGAGCAAGUGCUCGUAAGGAUCCUCAUUAGGCAACCCUCCAAACUGAUGUUGUUGAACCAAAGCAAUAAGACCAGGCUUUAGCUCAAAAUUUUCCGCCUCAAAAGACGGCCAAAGUGGCCCUGUGAAAUAGCAUUGGCUGCUUGGCAUCCAAACAUCACGAAGCAUCGCCAUAUCACCACCAAGUGUAACUAUCAAUCAACCUGUAAAUAGUUCAGAUUUCCUACGCACACUCAUAAACAGUAAAUACUAGUGAGAAUGUUAGUAUCCUAAUAAGACGAAGCAGCAACAACGAAAAAAUAUAAAAGAAACGCAGAAAAUGAAAUACACGACGAAUUAAACACGGACUAAAAUAGACCUAGUCUAUAGCCUAACACGGUCACUCGACGCUAGUCCCCGGCAACGGCGCCAAAAUGAUCAAUUGAAAGUAUAGCGGGGUUUUUACGCUCCAAACUACGGAUGUUGUGUUCUCCACAGGGACUAGGCGACGACGACUAUGCUCAGCUAAAGCUAGGUAGCACAAUUUUAAGAGAUAAAUGCAGAAAAGAAGAAUCUAAACUAACAAUGAUUGUACCCGAAGAUAAUCCACCAAGAAAAUGCAAAAUAGCAAAGGAGGUUAAGAUAUUACUCACUAUCUUUUUGGUAUUUUGUUUUAUUUGAGGAAUUAAAAUACUAACACAAACAGGAGUCAAUAUCAAGUAAAGCUACAAGACGAGGACACAUUAGUAUCAAACAUAUAACAGUAGGAAGAAGCGACAAUAUAUGACAGAAUAUAAUUGUUUCAAAUCAAACACACACACGCACAUUCAUAUAUCACAGGUACAUAGCUGAUACGGGGACUACAGAACACACAAAACCACACAUAUGCGAAUAGGAUACUACACCACGGUUCAGGUUACACAAGUGACAACAGAAAUGAAAUCUUAUAAGCCACAAGAUUAGUACCCACAGAUCAACACAACAGUAUUUAACAACUAAAAAAUACUGAUAGAAUUUAACUAGUACAGCGAGAAGAAAUACACAGGGUGAACACACAUAUAUGCUGACAGAACACUAAUUACCAAAGCAAUUUCUAAUAGAUCAAUAAUCUCCCAAAUUAACAAUAUAUUUUACCAGUACCAAACUGAACAAAUAACAAGUUGCUUGCACUAGUCAAAUCUGAAUAUUACACAACCCGAAACAUUACACAGUUCUGAACAUUACACUUCUAAAGUUUGCAAUAAGUUGAGAGAGAGAGAGAGAGAGCAACAAGAUUCAG
This 25814-nucleotide long non-coding RNA is filed under the name Triticum aestivum (bread wheat). Its description in RNAcentral is "long non-coding RNA (TAES_LNC003382)". The record is from RNAcentral. Lineage: Eukaryota; Viridiplantae; Streptophyta; Magnoliopsida; Poales; Poaceae.